This 351-nucleotide transfer-messenger RNA is filed under the name Deltaproteobacteria bacterium. It matches the Rfam family "transfer-messenger RNA". Rfam says of the family: Bacterial tmRNA, also known as 10Sa RNA or SsrA, is named for its dual tRNA and mRNA-like properties. Lineage: Bacteria; Pseudomonadati; Myxococcota; Myxococcia. The record is from RNAcentral.
GGGGGUGACACGGUUUCGACGGGGAUCGGAAGCCAAGGUUGCAUGCCGGAGUGGGCUGGCUCCGUAAAAAAGCCCAAACCAAACAAACGCCGACAACGACGUUCGUUACGCACUGGCUGCUUAAUUGCAGCCACGUCCCUUGACCUAUCGCCCGUGUAGGGCCUGGGACGUCAAUUCAGCGGGCUAGCUGACGCGGAGGCCUGUGCCGCGGCAGCGAAACCAAAGCAGGCUACCCCGAAGGAAAUCCUGUUCGUGGGAGUUCCGAGGGUGAAGACAAAACACGAACUAAGCAUGUAGACGCCUUGAGUGGAAGGUUUCCGGACGCGGGUUCGAUUCCCGCCACCUCCACCA